This 69-nucleotide transfer RNA is filed under the name Ictidomys tridecemlineatus (thirteen-lined ground squirrel). RNAcentral's name for it is "Spermophilus tridecemlineatus (thirteen-lined ground squirrel) tRNA". It matches the Rfam family "tRNA". Rfam says of the family: Transfer RNA (tRNA) molecules are approximately 80 nucleotides in length. Their secondary structure includes four short double-helical elements and three loops (D, anti-codon, and T loops). The record is from Rfam by way of RNAcentral. Lineage: Eukaryota; Metazoa; Chordata; Mammalia; Rodentia; Sciuridae.
GGGGUUGUGGCUCAGUGGUAGAGCACGCGCCUUGCACGUGUGAGGCACCGGGUUUGAUCCUCAACACCA